RNAcentral lists this ribosomal RNA (403 nucleotides) under uncultured bacterium. RNAcentral describes it as "partial 16S ribosomal RNA". It matches the Rfam family "Bacterial small subunit ribosomal RNA", at positions 28 to 526 of the family's 1533-position model. The record is from RNAcentral.
GACGAACGCUGGCGGCGUGCCUAAUACAUGCAAGUCGAACGCAGUGGGGACGGGUGAGUAACACGUGGGUAACCUCCCAUCAGAGGGGAUAACCCUUGGAAACAGGUGCUAAACCGAUACUGAUGGAUGGACCCGCGGUGCAUUAGCUAGUUGGUGAGGUAACGGCUCACCAAGGCCACGAGGCAUAGCCGACCUGAGAGGGUGAUCGGCCACACGGGGACUGAGACACGGCCCAGACUCCUACGGGAGGCAGCAGUGGGGACUCUUCGGCAAUGGGCGAAAGUCUGACCGAGCAACGCCGCGUGAGUGAAGAAGGUCUUCAGAUCGUAAAGCUCUGUUGUUAGGGAAGCGUUAUCUAACCAGAAAGCCACGGCUAACUACGUGCCAGCAGCCGCGGUAAUUC